This 292-nucleotide ribosomal RNA is filed under the name uncultured bacterium. RNAcentral's name for it is "partial 16S ribosomal RNA". It matches the Rfam family "Bacterial small subunit ribosomal RNA", at positions 505 to 794 of the family's 1533-position model. The record is from RNAcentral.
GUGUCAGCCGCCGCGGUAAUACAGAGGUCCCAAGCGUUGUUCGGAUUCACUGGGCGUAAAGGGUGCGUAGGUGGUGGGGUAAGUCGGAUGUGAAAGCUCGGAGCUCAACUCCGAAAUGGCAUUGGAAACUACCCUGCUAGAGGAUUGGAGGGGGGACUGGAAUACUUGGUGUAGCAGUGAAAUGCGUAGAUAUCAAGUGGAACACCAGUGGCGAAGGCGAGUCCCUGGACAAUACCUGACACUGAGGCACGAAAGCUAGGGGAGCAAACAGGAGGAUAAACCAGCGGAUUAC